UACGUAGGGGGCAAGCGUUGUUCGGAAUUACUGGGCGUAAAGGGCUCGUAGGUGGCCAACUAAGUCAGACGUGAAAUCCCUCGGCUUAACCGGGGAACUGCAUCUGAUACUGGAUGGCUUGAGAUUGGGAGAGGGAUGCGGAAUUCCAGGUGUAGCGGUGAAAUGCGUAGAUAUCUGGAGGAACACCGGUGGCGAAGGCGGCAUCCUGGACCAACACUGACGCUGAGGAGCGAAAGCCAGGGGAGCAAACGGG
Molecule: ribosomal RNA, 253 nt
Filed under: uncultured bacterium
Lineage: Bacteria
Description: partial 16S ribosomal RNA
Rfam family: Bacterial small subunit ribosomal RNA
Source: RNAcentral